Molecule: ribosomal RNA, 601 nt
Filed under: Nocardia sp. YIM M11286
Lineage: Bacteria; Bacillati; Actinomycetota; Actinomycetes; Mycobacteriales; Nocardiaceae
Description: bacterial SSU rRNA
Rfam family: Bacterial small subunit ribosomal RNA
Source: RNAcentral
GCCCUUCGGGGUACACGAGCGGCGAACGGGUGAGUAACAUGCGGGUGAUCUGCCUUGCACUCUGGGAUAAGCCUGGGAAACUGGGUCUAAUACCGGAUAUGACCACGGAUCGCAUGGUUUGUGGUGGAAAGAUUUAUCGGUGCGAGAUGGGCCCGCGGCCUAUCAGCUUGUUGGUGGGGUAAUGGCCUACCAAGGCGACGACGGGUAGCCGACCUGAGAGGGUGACCGGCCACACUGGGACUGAGACACGGCCCAGACUCCUACGGGAGGCAGCAGUGGGGAAUAUUGCACAAUGGGCGGAAGCCUGAUGCAGCGACGCCGCGUGAGGGAUGACGGCCUUCGGGUUGUAAACCUCUUUCGACAGGGACGAAGCGAAAGUGACGGUACCUGUAGAAGAAGCACCGGCCAACUACGUGCCAGCAGCCGCGGUAAUACGUAGGGUGCGAGCGUUGUCCGGAAUUACUGGGCGUAAAGAGCUUGUAGGCGGUUCGUCGCGUCGAUUGUGAAAACUUGCAGCUCAACUGCAAGCUUGCAGUCGAUACGGGCGGACUAGAGUACUUCAGGGGAGACUGGAAUUCCUGGUGUAGCGGUGAAAUGCGCA